RNAcentral lists this unclassified non-coding RNA (562 nucleotides) under Hevea brasiliensis (rubber tree). Lineage: Eukaryota; Viridiplantae; Streptophyta; Magnoliopsida; Malpighiales; Euphorbiaceae. The record is from RNAcentral.
GAUAGCUUCCACCUGAAUUUUUCGUCUUCAAUCCCUCGUCCACUUCUUGAGGAUCUUGCAUCUGGGACCCUGAAUUCGGAAUCUAUACAUAGGAUCUCCAAAGUGCAUGAUCAGUAUUUGGAGUUUGUCACUUUGGACGAUAACUUGUUUUCACUAGCCCAGAAAUCUAGCUAUGUUCAAUUGAAUGAUCCAUCUGCUGGGGAUAGGGAGAUUGAGGAGAUAAUUGAGAAGAUUGUUAGUGGUUUGUUUUGCGUGCUGGCAACCCUCGCUGUUGUUCCCGUUAUCAGGUGCCCACGGGGAGGGCCGGCAGAGAUGGUGGCAUCAGCAUUGGAUCAGAGGUUGAGGGAUCAUUUAUUGUCAAAGAACAAUCUGUUUUCCGAAGGUGGGGGUUUUAUGAGCUCAUUUCAGAGGCCAAUUUUGUGCAUAUUUGAUAGAAAUUUUGAAUUGGCAAUUGGGAUACAGCAUGAUUUUAGGUAUCGCCCUCUGGUUCAUGAUGUGCUUGGGUUGAAGCUGAAUAGGUUGAGUGUGCAGGAGGAAAAGGGAGGGAUGAAGUCAUAUGAGU